RNAcentral lists this ribosomal RNA (494 nucleotides) under uncultured bacterium. Its description in RNAcentral is "partial 16S ribosomal RNA". It matches the Rfam family "Bacterial small subunit ribosomal RNA", at positions 28 to 507 of the family's 1533-position model. The record is from RNAcentral.
GACGAACGCUGGCGGCGUGCUUAACACAUGCAAGUCGAACGGAAAGGCCUGCUUUCCCUUGUGGAUUGCGGGUACUCGCGUGGCGAACGGGUGAGUAACACGUGAGUGAUCUGCCCCCAACUUGGGUAUAAGCCUGGGAAACUGGGUCUAAUUCCCGAUAGGACUGCAGGGUGGUGCCUGUGGUGGAAAACGAUUUUCUAGUGGUUGGGGAUGAGCUCGCGGCCUAUCAGCUUGUUGGUGGGGUAAUGGCCUACCAAGGCGGCGACGGGUAGCCGGCCUGAGAGGGUGGACGGCCACAGUGGGACUGAGAUACGGCCCAGACUCCUACGGGAGGCAGCAGUGGGGAAUAUUGCACAAUGGGCGGAAGCCUGAUGCAGCGACGCCGCGUGGGGGAUGACGGCCUUCGGGUUGUAAACUCCUUUCGACCGCGAGGAAGCCACCUGGUUGGAAGGGUGGUGACGGUAGUGGUAGAAGAAGCACCGGCUAACUACGUG